RNAcentral lists this ribosomal RNA (609 nucleotides) under uncultured bacterium. Its description in RNAcentral is "bacterial SSU rRNA". It matches the Rfam family "Bacterial small subunit ribosomal RNA", at positions 338 to 1444 of the family's 1533-position model. The record is from RNAcentral.
CCUACGGGAGGCAGCAGUGGGGAAUAUUGGACAAUGGGCGCAAGCCUGAUCCAGCCAUGCCGCGUGAGUGAUGAAGGCCUUAGGGUUGUAAAGCUCUUUUGCCAGGGAAGAUAAUGACUGUACCUGGAGAAUAAGCCCCGGCUAACUUCGUGCCAGCAGCCGCGGUAAUACGAAGGGGGCUAGCGUUGUUCGGAAUCACUGGGCGUAAAGCGCACGUAGGCGGACUUUUAAGUCAGGGGUGAAAGCCUGAGGCUCAACCUCAGAACUGCCCUUGAUACUGGGAGUCUUGAGUAUGGUAGAGGUUGGUGGAACAGCAAGUGUAGAGGUGAAAUUCGUAGAUAUUUGCUAGAACACCAGUGGCGAAGGCGGCCAACUGGACCAUAACUGACGCUGAGGUGCGAAAGCGUGGGGAGCAAACAGGAUUAGAUACCCUGGUAGUCCACGCCGUAAACGAUGGAUGCUAGCCGUUAGCCAGCUUGCUGGGUAGUGGCGCAGGUAACCCUUUAAGCNUCCGCCGNGGAGGUACGGUCGCGAGAGUUAAACGUUAAAGGUAAAGUUAGUACGGUUCGUUGUAGACGUUGCCGACGGACGACGACGAGGGAGGUUAGG